Molecule: ribosomal RNA, 912 nt
Filed under: uncultured Pseudomonadota bacterium
Lineage: Bacteria; Pseudomonadati; Pseudomonadota
Description: bacterial SSU rRNA
Rfam family: Bacterial small subunit ribosomal RNA
Source: RNAcentral
CAGGCCUAACACAUGCAAGUCGAACGGCAGCGCGGGGCAACCUGGCGGCGAGUGGCGAACGGGUGAGUAAUAUAUCGGAACGUACCCAGAAGUGGGGGAUAACGUAGCGAAAGUUACGCUAAUACCGCAUACGAUCUACGGAUGAAAGUGGGGGACCUUCGGGCCUCAUGCUUGUGGAGCGGCCGAUAUCUGAUUAGCUAGUUGGUAGGGUAAAGGCCUACCAAGGCGACGAUCAGUAGCUGGUCUGAGAGGACGACCAGCCACACUGGAACUGAGACACGGUCCAGACUCCUACGGGAGGCAGCAGUGGGGAAUUUUGGACAAUGGGCGCAAGCUGAUCCAGCAAUGCCGCGUGAGUGAAGAAGGCCUUCGGGUUGUAAAGCUCUUUUGUCAGGGAAGAAACGGCUGAGGUUAAUACCUUUGGCUAAUGACGGUACCUGAAGAAUAAGCACCGGCUAACUACGUGCCAGCAGCCGCGGUAAUACGUAGGGUGCAAGCGUUAAUCGGAAUUACUGGGCGUAAAGCGUGCGCAGGCGGUUUUGUAAGUCUGUCGUGAAAGCCCCGGGCUCAACCUGGGAAUUGCGAUGGAGACUGCAAGGCUUGAAUCUGGCAGAGGGGGGUAGAAUUCCACGUGUAGCAGUGAAAUGCGUAGAGAUGUGGAGGAACACCGAUGGCGAAGGCAGCCCCCUGGGUCAAGAUUGACGCUCAUGCACGAAAGCGUGGGGAGCAAACAGGAUUAGAUACCCUGGUAGUCCACGCCCUAAACGAUGUCUACUAGUUGUCGGGUUUUAAUUAACUUGGUAACGCAGCUAACGCGUGAAGUAGACCGCCUGGGGGAGUACGGUCGCAAGAUUAAAACUCAAAGGAAUUGACGGGGACCGCACAAGCGGUGGAUGAUGUGGAUUAAUUCGA